RNAcentral lists this ribosomal RNA (583 nucleotides) under Bacillus subtilis. RNAcentral describes it as "bacterial SSU rRNA". It matches the Rfam family "Bacterial small subunit ribosomal RNA", at positions 516 to 1106 of the family's 1533-position model. Lineage: Bacteria; Bacillati; Bacillota; Bacilli; Caryophanales; Bacillaceae. The record is from RNAcentral.
CGCGGUAAUACGUAGGUGGCAAGCGUUGUCCGGAAUUAUUGGGCGUAAAGGGCUCGCAGGCGGUUUCUUAAGUCUGAUGUGAAAGCCCCCGGCUCAACCGGGGAGGGUCAUUGGAAACUGGGGAACUUGAGUGCAGAAGAGGAGAGUGGAAUUCCACGUGUAGCGGUGAAAUGCGUAGAGAUGUGGAGGAACACCAGUGGCGAAGGCGACUCUCUGGUCUGUAACUGACGCUGAGGAGCGAAAGCGUGGGGAGCGAACAGGAUUAGAUACCCUGGUAGUCCACGCCGUAAACGAUGAGUGCUAAGUGUUAGGGGGUUUCCGCCCCUUAGUGCUGCAGCUAACGCAUUAAGCACUCCGCCUGGGGAGUACGGUCGCAAGACUGAAACUCAAAGGAAUUGACGGGGGCCCGCACAAGCGGUGGAGCAUGUGGUUUAAUUCGAAGCAACGCGAAGAACCUUACCAGGUCUUGACAUCCUCUGACAAUCCUAGAGAUAGGACGUCCCCUUCGGGGGCAGAGUGACAGGUGGUGCAUGGUGUCUCACUCGUGUCGUGAGAUGUGGUUAAGUCCCGCACGACCACCUGA